GUAGGAUGUUCAAACCCCAUUUAAAAUUCAUUUUCAUACUUUUCUGCACCAGUCGGACUAUUGAAGAUAGUCAUACGCAAUGCAGAGUGCUAUGACGGAAAUUUUCUAUGGACUGUGGCAGGGCGGAGGAUCUGGCAAGGGAUAAGGUAUAGUUGUUCGGGUCAUACGAAAAAUCAAGUCCUCAUGUACAUAUUGGCAUGCACGUAAAAGACACUCCGACAGUUGUAAUUCAAUAUCAGAGUAGGCCAUAUAGUGCCGCUAUCCGUGCAAAGUUUCCGUCAUAGUACACUGUAUAUAGUGUAUGCCUGUCUUCAUUAGCUCACUCAGAGCUUAAAUCAAUGUGUGUUGUUAAUGUCAUUUAAAAUGGCGGCUGUCUACAUAUACAAUAGGCGUUUUUGUGAACCGAUUAGAUUAGACCGAUUAGCUAUUAUACGCAUUUGUGAACCAAGUUGAUUAUGCUAAUCGUUACAUUUGUGAGACGAUUUAACUCAACUGAUUAGGCAAAUCGACCUAAUCGUCCCAGGAGGUGUUUAGGCGAUUAGAUUUGACGUUUUCAAAAUGGCGGAAUGUUCGACAUCGUAAGUAAUUUUUAAUGCUUAUUGUUGUUUUUCUCCAUAAAAAAUGUUUUUUUUAAAACGCAUUUGAUGUGUUUAAAGUAGCUAAGUCUCUAACUCAAUAUCAUCCAAAAUCUUCAACAUUGAAAACACGAUUUAUUUGUCAAAUUAUAUCAACAUUCAUGUUGUGAUCUUAACGGGAAAAGAUGGGCUUUUGAUAUCCAAUAUUUUAGACAAAAUAAACAUUUUACCAUUGGUACACGAAUCGUGUACCAUAAUGCGCUUCAGCCCUAGUUGUAUCAAGAGACUCGAGGGACGAGGCUAGACACAUUGCACCAAAUCAAACGGCGUAUGUAAACUGGAAUAACCAGACGCUAGAAAUUUGCACUCGCUUGAGACUGCUGGCUUAUUUCGCCGAACAUAACGGAUUUGAAAUUGGAGUAAAAACGGAAACCAUUGAAUGUAAAUCAGUUUAUAUACAUUCAUACUACAGUAUUAUAUGCAUUGCGACCCACUUUUGUCAAUUUCUAGGUCCCAAAUGUUAGCGAUUUAGCUCCUUUAAUGUUAACUUUAUAGUCCACAAGAAUGUUAGAUCACCUCUGGCUCUAAGCAAUUUUAGGCCCUCUGGGUGCCAGCAGUGUCACUGUAAUCUGUAGGUAACUUGGACUACACGUGAAACACACGCCCCCCUCGUCAUGUUACCAGAGACAAUUUUUUUUCUGAUCGGUGUCCGUGGUGGCAGCCAUCUUACCAAAUCGUAAUUAUCAAAUUUCACAUUUGUGGACCAUAGCUAAUCAAAUCGAAAUCAUACCAAAUCGUACUAGCAAAUCAAAACCUAAUCUAAUCGACUCACAAAAACGCCUAAUAUAUAAAAUAGGUCAUGAGUCGAUUGGUGCCGUUUUUUUAUUUCGAAUUUAAAAGUUCAACACUUAAUUAUACAAGUUGUAAAACCAUAUAAAAAUAAAGGUUGGACCAAGACUAGUUCCAUUUUUUUAAGUUAUGAAUCUGAAAAAUAGAUAAUAUAGAGCGAAGCUCUACAGCAUCGCGCGAAGCGCGGUGCUUGAGCAAAGCUCUUUUCCGGUAACACAGGAGCGUAAUUGAAAAUGUUACCCACAGACUGUUGAUUAAGAAAAAAUUCAGACCGAAACCGGAUACACUGGAGAAAACAGGCAAUGCGCAUGUCAACUUACCAAAUCUCGUCCAAGCAAGAUUACGCGCCUCAUAGAACUAUUUCUAUGAUGCGUCUAAUCAAUGACGUCACAUAUUUUUUACGUCAAUGAAAAUAAUUCUCACACUUUUUUGUUCUUUUUUUUAAAAACAAAAUUAAUGUAUAAAAUUUAGAUCUAAAUAAAAAUCAAUUUUGAAAAACUAAAUUAUUUAACAUUUUUUGUAUCACUUGAGAAAAUUAAUUAUGAAGGUUUUAUAUUUGACAAUAAUCAGCUUCGCUCUACUCAGGCAAUGCCUGUUACAUAUUAAUGACCCAGUCAAUUAACAUAGAGAUCUACUCUAGCUAAAAAAGUCCAUAUAUUUAUCGUCUCUCGAUAAAAGACCUAUCUCUGAAAAUUAAAAUUCCCCGAUUUGAUUAUUCUUUUAAUAUAACAUAAUUAUGUAACCUCAUAUAAAAUAUGGUAGAGCGUAUACAAACAAAUUAUAUGAAUAGAUUCAUUAUCAGAAAUAUUACAGGCCUUUCAAACGAACAGCCGCCAUUUUUAGAACUACAUAGAUGUAAAAAUAUAUUUUUAUCGACUCGGGCAAGGUCAAGGUCACGAUCUGUUCACGGUUGAUGAUUGUGUUUAAAUCGGUUUAUAUCAUAUUAUUUCUAUUCACAUUACAAUAUUUUUUUUAUAGGUUACGGUUAUUGUUGUUAUUUAUCUAAAUUGCUUCAAUUAUUUAUUAAAUAUUUUUUGUUUGUUCGUUUGACCGGAACGUACGGAAUUCUGGGAUUUAAAAUGGCGGCAUAAUGUAAUUAUUAUUUUUCCCAAAGAAGAAAUGAUGCCGUGAUUUAAAGUUAAAUAAAGCUAUUCCACACAUACACACACGAUUUUGGAUUCAGCAAAGUAAAGUUGAAGAUCCUACAUGUAUAUUUGAGCACCCUUGGUGGCAGUAAUGACAAAGAAGUUCUAAAAAGAUUUAUAUGGGCUUUAUAAUGAUAGUUAGACAACACUACUACUUGCCAAACACUACUACUUGUCACAUAACGUAAUGAUAUAAAUAUAUAUGUAUCUAUGGUAGCACAAAUAUCAUCAGAAUGUAGGCCAAAGCUUUACAAGCAUUGUAGGCCUAAAAUACUUUCUGUCUGAACUUUUGACAGUCAAUUCUUUGAUGACUAGUUAGUUUAGAGCAGAUAUCCUGUCACAGUAUUAUAUAACAGCUCUUUGGCUUAAAGUUUAAACUGAGUUGUAUCAGUGAGUUGAAAAUCAUCUGUGUUCCUGUUAUUGCUCCCUGCUGCAGCCAGUAAACAAUAACCAUUUGCGUUCCUUACAAAUCUUCCAAUUUUUACUGAUAGAUCAACCAUAGCAAAGAUCUCUAUUAAGAUUAUAUUUGUAAUGUUUGUAACAAAUUCUAUGACAUAGGUAUAAUAUUGGUGUAGUUAAGUAUAUACCAUAUUUAUGCACACAUUUCAAUGUUGGCAUAUUAUUAGUCUCUAUCAUCUAGAAAAAAAUAUUCUAUAUUCUACGAAUAUUAGUGUGGUUGCGUUGUCAACAUUUGAGAAUAAUCGGUCAUAGGCUAGAUUAUCCGGUCUUUUACAUUAUCAUAAACAAAGUCUAAGGAAGGUAACUAGUCCUAAAACAAGAUGUUGACGCCCAUGAAAUUUAUAUAAGAAUGCCAUUUCCGAAAGUCCAUUUGAUUGCAUUGUCAGUUCAAUAUCCAACACUCUUAAUUUUUUUUUAUUGUAAAAUUUCUCUCUUCAUGGGCCAUAUCUAUGUUGUUUUUUUUUAUUGAAUCCUAAUUCGUCAUCACGAUUCAUGUUUGUUUAUAAAUGCAAGUGUUAUUGACAACUGUCCCAGACCCUCAUUAUUUAUAUGGCCCAACUUUUCUUCGGCGUACACCGGCACGGUAUUAGACUAGGAUAACAGUCUCGAAACUCGUGGAGUUGAAAAACAUUAGUCUUAUAUACCGCCUCUACUUAAUUAUGGAUGUAGGUCGGAAAAAUGUAAAAUUUGGCAAUUUGACUUAUACUCAACAUCGACUUAUACCCUGUAUGGUAAUGUGAUGAUGCCCCCUCUUCCAGACAAGACAUAGGCUAUAACUGUUUCAAAUGACAAGUGCUAAAUGAAGUAUUUAUGUGGUCUUUGGUGAAAGAAAUGAAAUGAAAUGAAAUGGGGUUUAACGUCCUACUAUUCUGCUCCUAACCUGGGCCAAUGAAGACGAGCAUAUGCCAUACAGUGUGCUAUGAGGGAAAUUUUGCCUGGGCAGCGGGGCUACGGCCUACUCUUAUAUCGAAUUCCAACUGCCAAGGGAUCUUUUACGUGCACGCCAAUGUCUACACGGGACCUCAGUUUUUCGUCCCAUAACGACUAGACAGCUGUCCUUGUCAGUCCCUCCGUCCUGCAUCACUGACAAGGGAAACCACGCCGGAAAAUCAGGAUGAACUUACAGGGAUCGAACACCCGAUCUCCAGGCUAGCGAGCCAGCGUCUUACCCACUUAGCCACUUGAUCCCCCCCUUUGGUGAAAGAGAGAGAGAGAGAAAUGGGGUUUACCGUCCACUCGACACAAACUAGGUCAUUUCGGGACUAACAUAUGGUUUAAUUUUUUAUUUACAUAAUUCGCUUGCGCGUAGGGGUCUUUAGGAGUGGGAGGAAACCGGAGGACCCGGAGAAAACCCAUGAAGUUGGACAGGCGACCCUACUCCUUGCCACGUACAACUGGGGAUUCGAAACCACGCCAGUCGACUCAAUGACAGACUUUAUGAUACAGUGCGCGCACGCUAACCAUUCAGCCAUCCACCCCCCCCCCCCUUUGGUGAAAGAAAACAGAGCUGUGGCUAGUGAAAUGAAAGUUUAACGUCCUACUGUUUUGCUCUGAACUGGGCUAAUGAAGAUGGGCAUACGCCAUACAGUGUGCUAUGUGGGAAAUUUUGCCCGGACAGUGGCACUACGGCCUUCUCUUAUAUCGAAUUCUAACUUCAAGGGCUCUUGUACGUGCACGCCAAUGUGUACAUGGGACCUCAUUUUUUUGUCCUAUUUUAAUGACUAGACAGCUGUCUUGUCUAGCCCUCUGUCCUGCAUCACUGACAAGGGAGAACCAUGCCGGAAAAUCUGGAAUAACUUUCUCGGCCAAUGCAGGGAUCGAACACCCGACCUCCAGACUAGAUAGCCAGUGUCUUACCGACUUAACCAACGUGAUCCCCGUUGUGGCUACAAUUCCUGGAUUUGAAGGUCAGGUAUGAUAUGAAAUGAAUAUUUUGAACCGGUUCACCAAUGCAACCAAUCCGUGACGGGUUAACUGAUAGAGGGUUACAUCCUUGAUAUAAAUAUACUUGUCGCGGGUUUUAAAAAUAGAAAUAUAUAUAUAAAGGUAGCUCAAAAUUCAUCUCUACAUGUACAUAGGCCAAGGGGGGAUCAUGUGGCUAAGUGGGUAAGACGCUGACUCGCUAGCCUUGAGGUCGGGUGUUCGAUCCCUGCAUUGGCCGAGAAAGUUCAUCCUGAUUUUCCAGUGUGGUUUCCCAUUGUCAGUGAUGCAGGAUGGAGGGCCUGACAAGGACAGCUGUCUAGUCGUUUGGAUGGGACAAAAAAAAAACCAAGGUCCAGUGUACACAUUGGCAUGCACAUAAAAGAUCCCCUGGCAGUUGGAAUUCGAUACAAGAGUAGGCCAUAGCGUUGCUGCCUGGGCAAAAUUUCCCUUAUAGCACACUGUAUGGCGUAACCUUUUGCGUCUCUUCAAAAUAUUUCAAAUCUUUUGUCAUGGAUCAACCAUUGCAAAUAUCCGUGUUACAAUUAUAUUUGAAAUGUGUUAAACCAAUUCUGCAACACAUGUAAUAUUUGUGUAGUAUAUAUCUUUGUUUAUACACCCACAUAUCAAUUUUGGCCCUGUUUGUCCGUACACUGGGUGUGAAAUGUGAAUCAUUCCGAUUGUGAGAGGACAAGCAUUAUCAAUAUACAGCUUUUCAGGACUUUGCUUUCCUUGGUUAAUUCUCCCUUUUUCAAAUGCAAUAGAUGCUGUGUUUAUUCUUAAUUGAUCUUUUUCAAAUUUGUGUUACACACUGGAAUCAUGAGAGGCCGAAACCUAUCAAUAUUCAGCAUUCCACAACAUUCCAUUCCAGUGUCGGCCGAGAAAGUUCUUCGUGAUUUCCAGACUUGGUUUCCUCCCCUUGUCAGAGGUGCAGGACAGAGGGCCUGACAAGGAGGGACAGCUGUCUAGUCGUUUGGAUGGUACGAAUGACCGAGGUCCUGUGCACACAUUGGUGUGCACGUGAAAGAUCCCUUGGCAGUUUGAAUUCGAUAUAAGAGUAGGCUUUAGCGCCGCUGUCUGGAUAAAAUUCCAUAAUAGGACACUGUAUAGCAUAUUUCCAUGUCAUUAGCCCUGUCGGAAUAGGACAUUAAACCCCAUUUCAUUUCACUCAUUCCAAAGUUAACUCCUAUUCCAUCAAUACCUUGAGCAAAUAAGAUAGAGGCUAUAGGUUUUGGCCCAAUUUGGUCAAUAUCCCAGUUUUUUCUUUCUUAUAUGCAUAUCAGCACUUUCAUAGCGCUAAUGUAGACCUUUUUCUUGAACAUUUUCCCUUGUCAGUGAUGCCGGACAGAGGACCUGACAUGGAUGGCUGACUAGUCAUACGGAAGGGACCAAAAAAACAAGGUACAGUGUAAACUCAAGUGUGUGUGUGUGAAAGAUCCCUUGGCAGUUGGAAUUUUAUGUAAGAGUACGCCAUAGCUCUGCACACUGUGUGGCAUAUGCCCGUCUUCAUUUCUCAAACAGCUGUGGAUAAAAACUGUUAAUAUUUAAAUGUGUAUUUUGUAUUUUAUAACAUUAUAUUUUUGUCUUUUAAAUAAAGUAUAUGUAUACAUA
This is a long non-coding RNA of Patella vulgata (common limpet), 6559 nucleotides long. RefSeq lists it as uncharacterized. The transcript has 2 exons. The record is from RefSeq and is a predicted model, not a curated record. Lineage: Eukaryota; Metazoa; Mollusca; Gastropoda; Patellidae.